UAGUUGUAUAACCUGAUGAUUCUUAGAACAUACCCAGAUUAACUAGCAAAGAUGCUUGAUUUACGAGGCGAUUCAAGCAAGAUGUGAAGUUACAUAAAUCAAGUGGAUCGGGUAUUCUGACAUUCUGAUUUGAUCAUAAUAUGAGGGGUUUACUAGCAUCAUUGGUCCAUGUUGGUGCCGGAAUUUCAAACAAUUAUUAAUUGUUUAAUAGCCAAAUUGAAAAAAAAAAAAAAAAAAGAAGGGGGGAAUCAAACCCUAAUUUGAAAGACUCGUAAAUAUCUUUUGAUGGACUUGCUGCAUCACAGAUCAACUCAACCCCAGAACUCUUACAUGGAAUGCAAAUUCAAUAAGCAAGAUUCAUCAAUAAAAUGGUAUCCAAACUUAAAAAAAAAAAAAGUGGUAAAAAGAAAAGAAAAAAAAAAGAAAGAGAUGUGUAGAUUAGUAUGGAUUAAGAGGAGAUUGGAAUUGGACCUGGGAAGAGAAGAACUUGGCAGCGACGGCGGCGAGGGCGGCGUUGAUGCCGGCGGCAAGAGCCCAGCCGUAGCCGCGCCGGUGAUCGCCGGCGGCCAUUAAAUGAAGAGAGGAGAGAGAGAGAGAGAGAGAGAGAGAGAGAGAGAGAGAGAGCCCUAAUUCUAUGAAAUGGAUUCGUUACUUUGUUGGGUUGAACCCAACACGCCCAAUCCAAACCGUUCGAUGAGUCUGAUCAGAUUGGGCUCGACAAUUUAGAUUUUCGAAUUAAUCUACAAAAAAAUGCCCCGACAUUUCACCUUAUGUAAGCGUACAGAUAACAUUAUCCAAUUUUUUUAAAAAAAAAUUACUACCUGUAUACUGUUAAUAAAAUCAUAAAUUUUACAUCCUUGAAUCUACAGUUUCAUAAAAUUUCAUUAAACUUUUAAUAAAAGAUAAAAAAGUAUUGAUCAGACUGCUCAGUUGAUAAUUACCAUAUAAAAUUUAGAAUAUAAAAUUUGAAGGUGUAUAUGUAGUAUUCCUCAAAAUUUUGAACUAUAUCAAUCCUGCACUUUAGCCUUCUGUCAAAUAAUUUAAUAAUUUAAGAAUUCUAUUAAUAUUUUGACGAAAGUGUUAACGGUAAUGACGUAGCAAGAUCAUUGCAUAUUAAAACCAAUUAAAUUCUUGCACGUAAAUACUUUAUCAAGGUUCAUCUUGGAUGUUGAUUUAAAGGGUGUUUGAACGAGCUUAAAUGAACUUAAAGAUGUGCCAUCUAAAAAGUACCUUGUUAAAAUUAACAAAAAAUUCUGACGAAAUGGCUUAAUUGAGACAAAAAUUUAAAAUUUUUAUGCCGUACAUAUUUGAGAUAUAGGGUAAAGUGUUGCGAUAGUUUUAUAAUUAAGCCUACUAUUUUAGGGUUGAAUGUAAGCAAUCAAUUCAAAAUUUUGAAUCUAUUUGAAGAGAAAAAUUAGAAAUAAUUUUCCCAACACUCUUCUAUCAAAUUGGAAGUUUAUAAGCGGCCCUUGAAAAUUCAAAAUAUAAAUAUCUGUUUUUUUACAUUAACUCUUUGGCUUUUAAAAACUUAUAUUUUGUGUCCUUAAAAUUUUAAAAUAUUUUCAAAGGGUUGCGGCGUAGAUGACAAAAUGACCAAAUUAUCUUUAUUUUGAAAGGCAUUUUCAGUAUAAAUUAUAAGAAAUAAAUGGAAUAGUAAUGAAAUCCUGAAGGAGGGGGGCUUAAUAUAACAAUUUAAAAUAUUAAGGGGGUAAAAUAUAUGUUUUUGAAAAUUAUGGAGGAAAAGUGAAAAAGGCGAAUAUUUAUAAAUCGGUUUCUGUAACUUAGCCUAUUUUAAAUUAAUCAAAUUACAAUAAUUGACCACACACUUAAUAAAGAAUAAAAAAAUAUUCUAUAAGCUAGGAAAUGAAAAGCUAAAUCCUAAAAAAAAAAAAAAAUUGAAAAAUAGCAUGCACUAAUAUGUUGCCCCACAAUGGAUAGUAGAGUAUAAAAUCUUUAUUUUAUUAAUUUCUUAGUGUCUAAUUCUUUUUUAAAUUAGGCAAGCUUACAAAAGUUGCCACUAUGUAUCAGUGAUAAAUUUGUAUAUUUAGAGAAGUAAACAUGAUAUUUUAAAUUUUAAAGUAUAUUUAAGAAAUUUCGAAACUUUUAAAAAGUAUGUUGGAUAUUGCCUCAAAAACUUAAUAUAAUAUUUAUUUAAGGUUAAAAUACGUAUAAUCUGUUCAAUAUAUUACAUAAGGUAUUUUACCUUUAAGAUAUAAAACAUAUGCACUUAACCCCACCCAUAAUAUGAAAUAUAUCUUAAAAAUAAUAAUAAAAUAACCAAGUAUGUCUAUAUAUAAAUAUUUUUUCAUCCUGAAAGGGAUAAAGUGUAUAAGUGCCAACGACAUAAAUUUCUAAAGGAAUUAAGAAUAUAUAUUUUUUUGUCCAAGGAGUUAAGUAUAACAUGUUAUAUAUUGAAGCGAAUAAAGUAUAUUUUAUCUAAUUUUUAAUGUGCAAAAUAAUUGAGGUAAACUAAAAUGCAAGAGGCCUUUUGUAAUUUAGCCUAAUUUUUAAGAAUUAAUACGUAAUAGAGCAAUUAAUCUGUAUGAAUUUUGAAUUCAAUUUACAAAUUUAUUCAAAUUACAUAUUUAGAAAUUAAGAGGGCAAUGAUGUUCAGGAACAGAAAAAAAAUUGAAUGAACCUAUUUCAAAUUGCCUACAAUUGUGAGAGUACGGAUGCAAAUGGGGCAGAUCCGGAGGCAGAAGGGUUCUCCACCUCCCGCACUAUUUCUUGUCGGGGCGGGACAGAUUCGAAGCAGGUUAUAUUUUAUUUUAUUUUUAUCUCCCACUUACCGCUUUAUUCGGGACAGGAGCGGAUUUUUGACGAAUUUUUAACCGAUCGGGACGGAUUAAAGGAAGAAAAGGAUUUACCGUCUGCCGCUCUAUUUAUUUAACGGAUCGGAAUAAAUUCGGGACAGAGUUAUAUUUUUCUAUAAUUUUAAUUUUCACUUACCAUCUCAUUCGGAGCGGAUUGGAGCGGGAGCUCCGCUAACUGAGAUCCAUUUGCAUCCCUAGCUGAGAGGGACUUCAUAGAAUCAUUGUUGAGAUUUUGAAGCGCCGGUCUAUAGGCCGCGGUCCACGCAACAACUCCACUGUGUUUUCAGUUGAACGGCGACCAAUCAGAUUAGAGCACACCGAUCGGGCUCCCAACCGUCCGAUCACCCCUUCAAAAUCGUACGGUGGGGCCCACAACGUUCUGGACGUUUCUCCUCUCCCUCCACUCCACUGCUCCACUACCAUUCCCUCCACCUCUAUAAAUAGUAGCCCACGACACUGAGCUACGAGCUCCCGCAGCCCCCUCCCCCACUCUACUCCGAACCCCUGUUUUCAGAAACCCUAGCACAGCAUACGCGACCUCCCCCUCGUCCUUCUCUUUCCUGUCCCUCCUCCAUGGCUCGCACGAAGCAAACCGCUCGCAAAUCCACCGGUGGAAAGGCUCCUCGCUAGGUCCUCGCCACCAAGGUGAUCGCCCCCUUCGAUGUCUCCUUUUCUAGAUCGAUCUCUCCCUAGGGUUUUGUUUACAAUUUUGAGCUCAAACAUCGAUCUCUGAUUUCUUCUUUGCCGUAUGGAUCGAUCUCUUCCAUCUCUCUAACAUGCUAGCGUUCUUUUACGAUCUCGAGCUCAAAGCUCGAUUCUAAUGGGUGUGUAAUCACUAUGUGUAUCUGAUCGUCUUCUCAAUCUGUUGGACAUGAAUACGAUACGAUUUCUAGCUUAACGAUCGAACUCUUAUAUGUCUAUGAAAUGUGUAUCUGAUCAUCUUCUUUGUUGAUUGGAGCGAUCGAUCUCUCCUGUUCCAUCAAUCCAUCCCUGUAGCUAGGGUUUUGUAUCUGAUCAUCUUCUUUGUUUGUCGGAUCGGAUCGGUGGACUGAUCGAAGGCGGCGAGGAAGUCGGCGCCGACGACGGGAGGGGUGAAGAGGCCGCACAGGUUCCGGCCCGGCACGGUGGCUCUGCGUGAGAUCCGAAAGUACCAGAAGAGCACGGAGCUGCUGGUGCGGAAGCUGCCGUUCCAGCGGCUGGUGCGCGAGGUCGCUCAGGACUUCAAGUACGACCUCCGCUUCCAGAGCCACGCCGUGCUCGCCCUCCAGGAAGCCGCCGAGGCCUACCUCGUCGGCCUCUUCGAGGACGCCAACCUCUGCGCCAUCCACGCCCGCCACGUCACCAUCAUGCCCAGGGACAUCCAACUCGCCCGCCGCAUCCGCGGUGAGCGCGCUUAAUCGAUCGGUAUCGUUUACCCCUCGACCCCUCCCGAUCACAUUUUCUUACUACACUAGCUGCAUGCGUCGUAUGACCUACAGUAUAGUAACAUCAUACAUGAUAGUACUCGGUCCCUCUCAUAGCAUAUCUCGACAUAGACGAUACUGUUACCUCACCCUUCUACGUGGAUACGGAUGUUUUCCCGUACUGAUGAUGCUGAUGAUAUACUCUAUUAUAUACAUAUAUGUGAGAGUUUUGCCUCGUUUCUUCGUAUGUUCUCCUGUUUCCUGAUUUGGUUAAUUCCUUUGUUAAUACUCUCGUAUACGAUCGAGUGCUGUGGAAACUACUUACACUGCAGUGAUGUGGAACAUUGAUCGUACCUUUUUGUUUUCGAAAAGUAUGUGUUUUUUUGUUCUCCGUCACAGCUUUUUUCCAUUUUUCGUUAUUUCCUUGCAUUUUCCGCUUGUUUUUCACUUGUGAGCUACUGAGCUUGCUUGACGUUUGAUAUAUAUACAGCGGUGAGUAUUUCUUUUUUUUUUUUUGUCUCUUUUUUAUUUUAUUUUUCUUUUCUAGAAGUGAAGAACUAUCCAACUGGAAGUGUGGAGCUAUGCUAUAGGCAGUGGACGGAGAAAAGGCAAAGGUAAAAUAAUAUGUUCAUCCGUAAAAUAGAGCAGUUUAGGAGUAAUAAUAUCGAGUUAUACUCCUAAAUGUCCCAAAAUAAAAUUGGAAAUAGUUAAUUUUUUUUCUCCUUUUCUUUUUAUCUAGCGUUUGAAUAGGUGCACUUCGGGAUGUCUCAAUGAGUAAUGUUUUUUUCAAAACGUUUUUUCAAGGAAAAUUUAUAUAAAAAAUAAUGUCAGAGAAAAUGAUAGACUACUUGUAAUCUCUAUAUCCAAAAUAUUUAUUAUAAUAGAGAAUAAAAAAAAAUUGAGAAAAAAGUAGCACGCUAUCUGCUUUAUUCAUUGGAUAAAUGAACUAGACUAUAAGAGUCGGGCAAUUAGGCUCCUUAAAAAGAAAAAAAAAGAAAAAAAAAAGUUCAAGUAGAGAGGAGUGAAUCCCACUCCUUCACAAGCUGCUUGAGGUUAAGAAUAGCCUUCUUCAGGUCCGGUAGGAUUUUCCUAAAGAUCCAGUUGUUUCUGACCUUCCAAAUGAUCCAGCAUCCUAUUAAUUAAGUUUGUUAGGCUGUUUCUCUUCUUCUGUAUACACUUCCUGGCCGUCCAUCUGUCCCACACUAAGGUCAUCUCGUUCCCCAGGUCCUGAUUCCGGUUGGGUUUGGAUUCAAUUUUUUCUCGAAUUUGAAUUCGAAUAUGAAUUUUUCAAAUCCAUCGAAUUUAGGUUUGGAUUUGAAUUUUAGUUUUCAAAUUUUCAGUUUGGUAGUCGAAUUCAAGUUCAAGAUUCUGAAUUCGAGAUUUUAAAGACCUGCUCCGAAUUUGACCCCUGUUCACAUCCCUACACUCCAAUAAAAUUUAUUAAAAAGAAAAUAUUUACUUCAAAAUAUUUAUUAAAAAGAAAAUUUACUUCAAAAGUUUUUAAAACAAUUGUAAUCUGUCGACUUAUUGGAGUGUAGGGAUGUGAACAGAUUACAAUUGUUUUAAAUUAAUUUUGGUUCAGAUCGGAUUUGGAUUCAGGUUGUGCGCCAACAAAAUUCAUGCCUGAAUCAAAUUUGUAGGAUUUUGUUUUUUAUACAUGAUCUAAAAUUAUAUUUGUUUAGCAUCCAAUGAUUUUGUCCAAUUCGAAUUCGAAUUCGGAUAAAAUUUUGAAUAUCCGUCCCUACUGGAGAAAAUUUUAAAAUGUAGCAGUCAUAUUACUAAUGUGUGUCUUUAAUUAAUUAAAUUGGUCUUUUAAAUUUUAUCCAUCCCAUCUUAAUUUUUUUUAAAUUUUUUGAAAAUAUUUUUUAAACAAUAUUAUAAUUAGCUAGCUAUAGAUAAAACGGUGAAGCUGGAUUUCCUGCUAGGAACGAGUGUUAAAGUAAAUUAGGGGCGAGAGAUUCUUUUUGGUUGAUGGGAUGUUGGGAUGGGAUCGCGGGAAUGGAAUAUGCUUCUGAUGUUGAUGUUCAAAUCAAAUGGUUAGUUAUUUCACUGGUAUGAUCACGUCGAAGCUUCUAUUCAGUUGCGAUGGACGACUCGGAAAAUUGGAGAAGUUAAUGCUGUCUGACGCUUUGCGUAGAAAAGUCACGAGUACCAAAAUCAACUUUCAGGAGUAGUCUCCCUUAUUCGGGUUAAUGUCAUGAGCUAACUAACAAGAAAAGAAAAUUAAAACACCAAUGUAGGUGUACAAUUUAUUUUAGGUUGUAAUUUUUAAUUUAAUUUUUUUUACUUAUUUUAUUAUUUUAUUUUAAUUGAAAAUUAGAAAAAAAAAUAAAUCGUACGACUUUUGAAUGAAAGGUUGUAGAUUAUAAUUACCACAUCUUUGGACAGUAGAAUUAGUAUUUCUCAAAAUAUAAUUUGAUUUGACUAAUGAGUUUUUUAUAGUAUACUAGAAUAGUAACUUGCACAAUGCAGGGUACAUAUUACUAAAGUUAAAUUUCUAUCUUAGAUAAAGAGUAAAUAUAAAAAUAAUUCUAAAUAGUAAAAAUCAAAGCAUAGAUAAAAAAAAAAAAGUAAAAGUUUUAAAAGAGGAAGAAUAUAAGAAGAGGAUAGAAUUAAGAAAAAAUAAAACUAAGGUACAUUAUAUACAACUGUCGUUCAAUGCCUGAGUCAAAGAAGACAGAAAGAAAUACAUGCACAGACAAAAUAGAAACAACUGUAUAAUAGUUUAUAAUUCAUGUAUAGUACGGAUAGAAUAUUAAGAAAUAUGAAAAUUUCUACGACAACUACAAAUCUUAAAAGAAAAGUUGAUUUGUUAGCAUGUGGUGUUUUCUUUCUUCCAUGUUCAUGGUUAGGGAUGCAAACGGGGCGGAUCUGGGGCGGGAGGCUUCCGCCCCGUCUCCCGCCCCGAAUUCGUGACGGGUUAAAAAAUACAUUCCAUAAUCCGCCCCGCCUCGUAACUCGCCUCCCGCCGGCGGCCCGAAUCCGCCCCGCCAACUAAUAUUUUUUAUGAAAUUAUAAUAUUAUUAAUAUUUUAUAAAAUAUAAAUUAAUAAUUUUUAAUAAUAUUAUAUAUAUAAUUUAACAAUAUUAAUGGUAAAAAUUAAAAAUAUGAAUCACAAUUCAAAACAAAAUUCAAGUGUUUCAAAUACAUUAGAAAUGAGAGUAAUAAUUAAUUUGUAUUUUGAACUUUUUUUGUAAAUAUAUUAUUUUUUAGAAAUAUUUUUAAAAAAUACAAAUGAUAUUCGGAGUGGAUUCGGGGCGGAUUCGGGGCGGAACAUGGCGGGGCGGAUCAUGGCGGGGUGGAUUCGGGGCGGGUCAAAAUUUUUUCCGUUUUCUGUCCCGAAUCCGUCUCGGAUCGUAAAACUUAUCCCGUUUCUUGCCCCGAAUCCGUUUAUUUUCUCCCAUUUACUGCCCCCGUCGGGGCGGAUCGGGGCGGGAGCUCCACCAACCCGGAUCCGUUUGCAUCCCUAUUCAUGGUUAUGUAUAAAGGCACAUCUCUUUUUGUGCUUUAAAAUCAUUUGUUUGGCUUGCUUUAUUAACGUAGUUUAAUUGCAAAAUAUUUAAGCAAAAUAAUUCGCUAAUUAGGCAACAUGAAGCAUUUUCUCAUAUGUGGAGGCACACAAGUAGGCAAAUGGUUGUAAAUGGGCAUACCUUCCAAUUUUUGUUGCCCAUUAUUAAAGUAUUAUGGCCUUGGAAGCAAGAUAAUCAUAACCUGUAAAAGAAUUUAACGUAACGAAAUAUUAGUUAAUGAUUAGUCCAAAUAUAUUUUAUACAAAAUCCACUAAGAUAGUUCUUCAUAAAUAACCUGAUUUUCAUGUUGCCGGAAUCUUGAAUCAUUUGUCGAUUAGAGUACUUCAUCUUUAUUGGAAAACAUAUUUCUACCAAAAAUAACGCAAUCACCAACCCCUCCAUUAAUGGGGGGAGAGAGAGGAUGAAAGAGAAGAAGAAGAGAAAGGAAAAGAAAAGGAAGAGUUUAAGUAAAGAGAGGGUGAUUAGGGUUUCCAGAAGAGUUGCGGGUAGAUGAGAGGGUGUACGAUAAGUGGGAGAUGAGGGGACGUGAGGCUGGGGGUGUCCGUUUUGGAAAGAUAUGAGGGGAGGUGAGAGGGUGUAUAUUUUGGAAAGAGAUGAAAAGGGGUGAGAAAAAAUUCUAGAAUGCAACGGGUAUAUUAGUGACGUGGCGUAACAAACCAAUCAAAUUAAUCAUUUUAAGAAUAUAUGUCCCAUCGUGAUUGUAACAAAAUAUUUUUAUUAUACUUUUGUUUGAAAAGAAGGAAUGUGAUUGGCUUGUUAUUGAUGACGUUGUGCAUGUGUGACAGUGUAGAAUUCCUCAGGGGUGAGGGGGUGAAGGGGAUGAAAUGGAACUAUAGAAAUACUGCAGUUGAAUAAGGAGAGUCCGUUCAGUUCAAGGAAGGUGAAAAGGCGGAGAGAUGCAACUGAAAAUUUAGUUCAAAAGUGAGGAUAUAUUAUUGGACUAAAUCCAAGAAUGAAAAGGAUAGAAAAAUCGAACCGAAUCCAAAAAAGAACCUAGCAGGUGAAGAUGGUUAAAGGGAAUAGAAAAUCUAGUUCGUUUUCAAGUGAAUAGAAAAUCUGGUUCAAAAGUGAAAAAAUAUUACUGGAUCGAAUCCAAGAAUGAAAAGAAAAAAAAAAUUGGACCAAACCCAAAAUAGAACAUUGUAGGUGAAGACAGUUCAAGGGAAUAGAAAAUUUGAUUCGGUUUAAAUGAAUAGAAAAUCUGGUUCAAAAAUUAGAAAAUAUUACUGGACGAAUCCAAGAACGAAUAAAAAAAAAUCGGAGCGAACACAAAAGAGAACAUGACAUGAUGAACCCACUCCCAACAAUGAAGUGGUCAAGUGGUACCCACUUUUAAAAAUGAAGGUGGUGAUAUCAAUCACAUGGGCAAGUUAUCGAGGAUUAAUAUAUUGAUAUAAUAUAAAUAAAUUAGUUUAAUUUCUAGAUGAAUGGUAGUGAUAUCAUUUGUUCGUUAUUUGUCACCCGUUUCGGCGAGAAUUUGUCAAAAUUUUAUUAGCGGACGGUCAGUUUUUGGUUGGCAUGAUGCUAUUUUCCAUUUGAGAGGAAGCCGCAAAAGAAGCUGGAUAAUUUUAGUAGGCGAUCCGCUGCUGUGUGUUAAUUUUGUUUUCAUCAAAUAAUUCAUAGGAUAUUUCUAAUACUAUAACUUUAAAAAACAAUCCCAAAGUAAAUAAUUAUAGUCCUUGAAUAGGGAUAAAAAUAACAUGGAAUGACAAAUGAUCGUGAAAUGACGGUUCCCACUCACUGCAGCAAAUCAUUUCCGACAUCUCAUCAGCUUCUUUCUGUGGCCGCAGCCUCAACUGCAGUUACAACGAUCCAUGCGAAGAGAAUCCUCUACAAACCCCAACCAGAGGAUGAGCUCAGUUACACACACCGCGCAAUUUCAGGGGCUUCAUUCUUCGCAAAUUGUUGGGAAUCCAUGUUUGCUGAUCAAGUUUGAUUUCACUUUGGUAAGUCUCAGCAACAAAUGGAAAAGGAGAUAGUAAACUUUCGCUUCAUGAACGAGUUUUAACCAUCAAAAUGAAGCAAAAUUAUACACAACUGAAUCCAUCUGUUUUCCUGCCAAGUUGGAAAGUUAACUGCUAAAGGCAUUCAGAGCUUGCGUCUUUUUUUCUGGAUUCAAUUGGUUUCUUUUGAAAUGCCCAUUUCGAUGGUGUGUUUAUAUCUAGGCGUCAGGGAUACUAACACGAGAUACGGAAUACGACACAACUCGGACACGGCGACUCGACAGUUUUUAAAGAAUUAGGACAUACUGAUAUGGCAUAGACACCGCUAAUAAAAUAUAAUAUUAUUAAUAUAAUAAUAUAUAUCUAUUUAUAUGAAAUAUUAAUUUUGGUAAAAUAUUAUUAUAUUUAUCAUACGAAUGAAAGUUAGUAAAAUUUUAAUUUAUAAUUCAUAUAUUUAUUUAUAUUGGCAAAAAAAAUUUGUAUGCAUUCAUUAAAAAGUUAAAAUAUAUAUCAUUUUAUAUUAUAUAUGUAUAAAAAAAUAAAAUAAAUAUAUGCACAUUUUUUUAAUUGUUUGCGCUGUGGAUCGGCAUUGAAUGUGCGUCUAUGGAGUGUCCACAUCGGACACGUGUCCGAUACGGACACGCGAGACUUAUAGAAGUAUCCGCGAUACAUAGGUCUAUAUGUUUGGUAUAUAUAUAUAUAUAUGUGCAUUAGAUAUCCCUUUUUAGGUCGUCACAAUAAGAUUUUACUAAAACAACAUCUUAACCACAUUGCUGCAACUUAAACUGAAAAUUCGAUACAGAGAGUAGAGGGAUUUUCAAAUCAUUGACCCUUUUCCUAGUUGUAACAUCUCUCUGCUAGUAGCAGAAACAUAUGUAGAACUUCAAUAAUAGACACUCGAUUUUAUCUACAUACCUAAUUGGUGUGCUUGGAGACCAAAAGUUUUCAGAGUAUUUGGCAAAGAAUAUUCAUACUGAUCAACAGUUAAAUUUGCAUAAUUAUUUCAUCUGUUUGGUAUGCAAUCCUCAUUUGGAGAACAACAGGAGCAAAAAAAAAAAAAAAAAAAAAAAGGAAAAAACCCCAAAAGGGACUUUUGCUAUGAAGACAAAGUUCUGAAGGGAUAAAAUUUUCUGUUCCUAAAUUACUCUGUUAACAAUUAUGUAAUAAAAUCUAGAGGUAAAUUAUGCGCUAUGAAUCCUAUGAUUCUUAUUAUACAAUUAUAUAUAAAGAUGAUUAAUGUUAGAGUAUAACUCCAAUAACAAGGUUAAAGUGAAUACGAAUAGCCUAACAGCUCUGUUUUGAUUUUGAGCUAUUCUCAUCAGAUUAUCAGAGUGAUUACAAAUUUUAUUAAUAAAUGAUUCUGAACUUCAAAUUUAUUUAAAAGUUUCAGUAAAGACAAGUUCAGGGGUGCUCAAAAAUGACCUACUCCUCACGAGGUUCUUCAUUUGUUUUUUAAUCCAACAAUCAAGGAGAGAUAACUGCAAAUGAAGUAAGAUAUAAGAUAACAAGAACCACUAAAUUAUUCUAAACCAACAAGAGGGAUAAUAAUUGAUCAUGUAAUUUUAUCAUCCAAACAAGACCCUCCAUAAACAGAUACAGUUAAACUAACAAACAGCAACUAAUGAGAUCAAUAAAGAAUAAAUGAAGACCUGAGAUUUGCAUUAGAUGGGAUUGGAGUUUUGAUUAAUACACACUCUCUUUGUUGGUCAAUUAAAAGUAUUACUACAUCACUCCUACCUCCCCUGCUAACAAUUAAUUUUCGUACCAUCUAACACUACUUCAGAUAUGAUAUCUUCUACAUGAUAGAUUAAUUCUACAUGACAUACAUCAAUCCUCCUAAACGUGGUCGGUUACACGCGUCAUCUCGACGCGUCACUGCUGCUGCUGCUGCUCGCACCGCCGCCGCCGCCGCCGCCGGAGUCGACAUUGGCAGCAGCAGGAUCUGAAAUGGAGGCUUGGUGAUUACUGUCGGCGACAAUGGUGUUUUCCGGUGGGGUUUGGUCGGCUGCAGCAGCGGUGAUAUGAGGCUUCUUGAUCCGGCCGCGGUGCAUGUGGCGCUCGCAGUACUUCUGGUCGGGGAUGACGUCCCGCGAGCACCGCCACUUCUUGCCGUCCGUCCGACGGCACCGCCCCGGCUCGGGCUCCGUGUUAUUCCAGAAAUCCAAGCACAGGUUUCCCAGUCCUAUCACUGCUUCCCACAACCGACGACAACAGCCGAAAUCAAUUCGAUUUACACCGCACACAUACAUACAUACAUUUAGGGCCUGUUAUGCUACUGUAGGAAAUAGUAUUCGUAUUUCAUACAGAAUUUAGACCAAAUUAAUCUUACUGUGAACAUCUCGUUAAAGAGAGGGUUUCUCCUAAAAUACUUUCUUCUAACAGCUUAGACCUACAACAAAAUCGGAAGCUUCAAAUUGAAGAUUCUGAGUUUAGACCUUAAAAUUGACACAUUUGCUAUCCCCUGCAGCUGAAGCUAGGGCUUUUUAUGGUUGCGAAAAGCGCUGUUACAAACACAAAUAAUAAACACAAUGGGGGCGCAAAGAACCACUAGCCACCUAACUUUUGGCAGGGUUUCAUUUGAUCCUUGAAAUUUUAAGCUCCAGAUUUAAAACACUAAACUUUUGAAUAUUACAUUAUUUUAGGUCUGUCUUAGCUUACUGUUUAAAAAAAAAAAAAUAAAUUAUAGCCAGUAUAUUCAUACACCAAACUGUAUUUAUCAUUUUGCUUAAACUCAUAUAUAAUGUUUAUGUAUAUCCAACAAUCCUUUAUAUUGCAGCUAAUGAGAUACACAAGACUUAUAGCUAGAUUAGGUGCAAGCAAUGAUUUCUUCUAAAUAAAAAACUAGAGAAAAAUAAUUCAAAAAGAAAAAAAAAAUCAGACUUAAACAAAACAUGACUAAAAGUAUAGAAACUGACAAUGCAAUUUAUGGAAAACAAAGGAAAAAAAAUAUAGUGUAGAGUUAUUAUAUUAUCGGAAGUAUAAAGUAGUUAGUGCUUCCGAUUUUUUAGCCAUUGGAUUAAAAAUUCUACGGUUAGGAUGAUAAUGGUCUCCCUAGGGUUGAGUAGUGUCCCUAGGGUUGAGUGGUCCCCAUUGAUUAAUAAUAUUAAUCCAAUGGUUAAAAAUGAUCAAAGAAGUUGAUCUAAGGGCUAAAAAUUGAAAGCACCAACCACUUUAUACUUCCGAUAAUAUAGUAGCUCUACUAAAAAAAUAUAUAGGUGAAGCAAUAAAGGGGAAAGCGGAAAAUAAAAUGAAAAUAAAAAUUGAUGGAAACAGUUUCCAACUUGACAUCAUUUCAUCCACCGUUCACGUAGCUCUAAAAUUCAGACGUGACUAACAGUGGAUGAGACCGUCUUGCAUUAGAACUAAAAAGGAUACUAACCUAAGCUAUGACAGUUCCAAAUUUUGAUUUUACUGUCCACUUUUAAAUUUAUUUAAUUUGAAUAAGUUGACACCAGUAAUCUGAUUUUAAAAUUUAAACUAAUUAUUUAUUUUAAUAAAUUUACAGCUGUAAAAACUACUCCACGAAGCAAAUUAACUAAAUAUGCAUGUAAAUAUAAAUGAUAUAUUCAAAUUUUUAAUUCAAAAUUUGAAAUCAAAUAUCGUUGACCUAUUCGAUUCAAAUCAAACAGAUUAAAUUUAUUAUAUUACAAUAAAUAAUUAACUUAAAUUGUAAAGUCAAAAUAUCAUUGACCGAUUCAAAUCAUUCAGAUUAAAAGACUAGAUAGCAAAAUUAAAAUUUUAAUAAAUUAAUAACUAUAAUUUAUGGUUUAGGCAAGUUUUAUACGUAUGGGCAGAAAUGUCAAAAUGCUAUGGAGACGGUUUUCAAUGUGAGACAAUCUCAUCCACCGUCCAUUAUGUGAACUCUAUGACACGAUGGGCAGUGGAAAGGACUGAACUGUCUAGAACUUUUUUUUUCUUUCUUUUAAAAAAAAUAUAGUAUGCUAUUGCUUCAUUCAUUAAACUACUGUUGCGGUAGAAUUUGUGAGGAGAGAGAAAAAAAAGAAAAAGGAGAAGGAAGAUGAAGGUACGGGAAGGGUAGCGGUGGGGGCCGACGGGGGAGGAGGCGACGCUCUUCCAGAUGGGGAGGAUGAGGUGGAUGGGGACGGCCACCCCCGUCGCCAUGUACUUGUAUAUCAGCGCCUGCCUCUCCAUCUCCUGCAGCUGCCCCACCGUAAACGACGCUCUCCUCCUAUUCCUCCUCCGACGAUUCCUCCUCUUCCUUUUAUUGCCCUCCUCUCCCUCCUCCUCCUCCUCCUCAGUCUCCUCAAUCCCUACCUCCUCGUCGGGACCAAGUCCUAACGAAAGUAUAACAAACAUGUAAGAAUGAUAACAAGCAAUUAUUAUAGUUCCAAAUCGAAACUAUAUAAAAAAAAAGAAUUACCUUGGACCGGAACGGAAGAAGAUGGUGAAGGAUCUUCCUCGUUUUCUAGUCUUAGUUUUUCUAGGGGUUUUUUUUUUUUUUUUUUUUUUUAGAGGCCGUAGCGGCCUAGCUAGAGAGGGAGUGAGAGUAGAAUCCGCUACCGGCGCCGCCUCCUCCUUCCCCUUUUCGGUCUCUUCUNNNNNNNNNNUGUAACGGUGAUAUGUGGCGGGUGGGGAUGAUGACAGGUGUGCCCCACACGUUUAAUGAGAAUGGUUGGUGUGAUAUACACGCCGCUCUGACACCGACCUGUGGGGCCCACGCGGCACUUCUCGGUAUCAGAGACCCGUCAGGGAGGAGUGUCUCAGAGAGACGGUGGAAAAAGAAAAUGCUAGCUGUACAACUUAAAAUAAAUAAAAAAAGUUAAAAUAGAGAUUUUUUAUUUUUUAAUUUUUAUUUUAUAUUCGAUCAGUAAUAAUUGAUUGAGCCUAAAUCAUCAUUCGAAAUAUUUAAGUUCAAUUAUUAUUAUUUGUGUCUGACGUCAAUAAAUUUAUUAUAUUUUUUUAAUUAUCUGAUGUAAAAUUAUUAGAAUGUCACGUUUUCAUAUUAAUAAGGAGGAUGAAAUAAUCAAAAUGUUCUUACUUUUUUAUAAUAAAAAAUUUAUUUUUAAAUAUUUUUUGUUAUUUUUAAAAAAUAUUUUUUUUAUAAUUUAUAGUCUAUAUACGGAACAAUAGCAAAAUCUUGACAUGGUGUGGCAAAGUGCAUUAACUUAAAAUUUGGAGAAGAUAAAAUAUUAAUUUUUGAGCGUUAAGAGAAAAGGAUAAAAAAUCAGUAUUUAUAUAAAAAAAAUAUUUUAGCUCGAAACAAAUCUAAAAUAUGGCAAUGAUAUUAUGUUAUUUAUGUCUCUAACCAAUCAAAUUUUUGGUUUGAUGCUCUCUAUCCCAUCCUUAAUUAUUUUUGACUAAUAUUAUAUUUUUUUCUCAAAAUGAGGAUUUGAUUAAUUGGAGACACAAUGACGUAAUGUCACAACUACGUAGAAGGCCACUGCUCAAAAAAAAUUAUAUA
Molecule: long non-coding RNA, 15111 nt
Filed under: Ananas comosus (pineapple)
Lineage: Eukaryota; Viridiplantae; Streptophyta; Magnoliopsida; Poales; Bromeliaceae
Description: long non-coding RNA (ACOM_LNC015510)
Source: RNAcentral